This 498-nucleotide ribosomal RNA is filed under the name uncultured bacterium. Its description in RNAcentral is "bacterial SSU rRNA". It matches the Rfam family "Bacterial small subunit ribosomal RNA", at positions 501 to 1000 of the family's 1533-position model. The record is from RNAcentral.
CUACGUGCCAGCAGCCGCGGUAAUACGGAGGGUGCGAGCGUUAAUCGGAAUAACUGGGCGUAAAGGGCACGCAGACGGUGACUUAAGUGAGGUGUGAAAGCCCCGGGCUUAACCUGGGAAUUGCAUUUCAUACUGGGUCGCUAGAGUACUUUAGGGAGGGGUAGAAUUCCACGUGUAGCGGUGAAAUGCGUAGAGAUGUGGAGGAAUACCGAAGGCGAAGGCAGCCCCUUGGGAAUGUACUGACGCUCAUGUGCGAAAGCGUGGGGAGCAAACAGGAUUAGAUACCCUGGUAGUCCACGCUGUAAACGAUGUCGAUUUGGGGGUUGAGCUUUGAGCUUGGCGCCCGUAGCUAACGUGAUAAAUCGACCGCCUGGGGAGUACGGCCGCAAGGUUAAAACUCAAAUGAAUUGACGGGGGCCCGCACAAGCGGUGGAGCAUGUGGUUUAAUUCGAUGCAACGCGAAGAACCUUACCUACUCUUGACAUCCAGAGAACAUUC